CAGUCGCCGCGGGAAAACGUAGGGCGCAAGCGUUAUCCGGAAUUAUUGGGCGUAAAGAGCUCGUAGGCGGUUUGUCGCGUCUGCCGUGAAAGUCCGGGGCUCAACCCCGGAUCUGCGGUGGGUACGGGCAGACUAGAGUGAUGUAGGGGAGACUGGAAUUCCUGGUGUAGCGGUGAAAUGCGCAGAUAUCAGGAGGAACACCGAUGGCGAAGGCAGGUCUCUGGGCAUUAACUGACGCUGAGGAGCGAAAGCAUGGGGAGCGAACAGGAUUAGAUACCCGAGUAGUCCCUGUCUCUUAUAC
Molecule: ribosomal RNA, 301 nt
Filed under: uncultured bacterium
Lineage: Bacteria
Description: partial 16S ribosomal RNA
Rfam family: Bacterial small subunit ribosomal RNA
Source: RNAcentral